Molecule: long non-coding RNA, 492 nt
Filed under: Homo sapiens (human)
Lineage: Eukaryota; Metazoa; Chordata; Mammalia; Primates; Hominidae
Description: HSALNT0299642
Source: RNAcentral
CGCGCGGCUGCCGCCCUUUCCACGGUGACGCCGUCUGCACUAGCGCCGCACCCGCUUCAACUGCCUGCAACCGCCGCUGAAUUCCCUCAUCCCCACGCUGAGAGGACGAGAAAGGCGCCCUGGGGAAGGCUCUCGGGAAAGCCCGCAGCCGCUGGACGCGGGAGGACAUGGAGGAUUUACUGCCUCAAGAUGGUUAUGUUGGAGGAUUCCAAUAGUUCUACUGGAUGUGGAGCCAGAAAUUGUGUGGAAUGCCUGGUGUUUCUUUCAGUUCUUGGAUGCCAAUCUGAGUGUGCAAGUCAGUGGAAUUAAGUUCUUUCACAAGACUGUACCAUCACCUCUAUCAAGCGUCAGAACUUUUUCAUCACCUCAAAUGGAAAACCUGUAGCCAUCGAGCAGUCAGUCUUCAUUUGCCAGCUCUCCCUAGCCCUGCCAGCCACUAAUCUGCUUUCUCUAUGUAUGGAUUUGCCUAUUUUGGAUAUUACAUAUAAAUGG